GACGUAGGGGGCAAGCGUUGUCCGGAUUUAUUGGGCGUAAAGAGCGUGUAGGCGGCCGUACAGGUCAGCUGUGAAAACUCGAGGCUCAACCUCGAGACGUCGGUUGAAACCGUACGGCUAGAGUCCGGAAGAGGAGAGUGGAAUUCCCGGUGUAGCGGUGAAAUGCGCAGAUAUCGGGAAGAACACCCGUGGCGAAGGCGGCUCUCUGGGACGGUACUGACGCUGAGACGCGAAAGCGUGGGGAGCGAACAGG
RNAcentral lists this ribosomal RNA (253 nucleotides) under uncultured bacterium. RNAcentral's name for it is "partial 16S ribosomal RNA". It matches the Rfam family "Bacterial small subunit ribosomal RNA", at positions 524 to 776 of the family's 1533-position model. The record is from RNAcentral.